GCCUACGGGGGGCAGCAGUGAGGAAUAUUGGUCAAUGGCCGAGAGGCUGAACCAGCCAAGUCGCGUGAGGGAUGACGGCCCUACGGGUUGUAAACCUCUUUUGCCGGGGAGCAAAGAGCGGGACGCGUCCCGCCUCGAGAGUACCCGAAGAAAAAGCAUCGGCUAACUCCGUGCCAGCAGCCGCGGUAAUACGGAGGAUGCGAGCGUUAUCCGGAUUUAUUGGGUUUAAAGGGUGCGCAGGCGGUCUGUUAAGUCAGCGGUCAAAGCCCGGGGCUCAACCCCGGCCCGCCGUUGAA
This 296-nucleotide ribosomal RNA is filed under the name uncultured bacterium. RNAcentral describes it as "partial 16S ribosomal RNA". It matches the Rfam family "Bacterial small subunit ribosomal RNA", at positions 337 to 631 of the family's 1533-position model. The record is from RNAcentral.